Molecule: ribosomal RNA, 383 nt
Filed under: uncultured eukaryote
Lineage: Eukaryota
Description: partial 18S ribosomal RNA
Rfam family: Eukaryotic small subunit ribosomal RNA
Source: RNAcentral
UAAUAGCGUAUAUUAAAGUUGUUGCAGUUAAAAAGCUCGUAGUUGGAUUUCUGGUGGGAGCGAUCGGUCUGGCGCUUAGCGCGAGUACUUGCAUCGUCUCCGGCCAUCCUUGGGGAGAGUCUGUCUGGCAUUAAGUUGUCGGGCAGAGGAUCCUCAUCGUUUACUGUGAAAAAAUUAGAGUGUUCAAAGCAGGCUUAUGCCGUUGAAUAUAUUAGCAUGGAAUAAUAAGAUAGGACUUUGGUACUAUUUUGUUGGUUUGCGCACCAAAGUAAUGAUUAAUAGGGACAGUUGGGGGUAUUCGUAUUCCGUUGUCAGAGGUGAAAUUCUUGGAUUUACGGAAGACGAACUACUGCGAAAGCAUUUACCAAGGAUGUUUUCAUUAA